GUGUUAGGAUGACAGGUGUGAGCCCUGUAAACAGACUGUGCUCUUCCUUUCUUUGUGCACAGCUGAGUUAAUGACCUCUACUAUUUUCUCUAAAGAACUUUGAACAUUUUUUGCAAGGCAGGUCUACGGGCAACAAAUUUUGCAAUUUUUGUCAGAGGAGGUCUUUACUUUUUCUUCACUUUUGAAAGAUAAUUUCACAGAGUAUAGACUUCUAGGUUAAUAGAAUUUUUUUCCUCUCAAUAGUUCAAAUACUUCACUCUACUUCUUCCUUUCAUGGUUUUUGAGGGGAAGUUGAAUAUAAUUCUUAUCUUUGAUCCUCCAUAGGGAAGGAGAUUACUCUGGUUUCUUUGGUUUUUAAUCUUUGAUUCACCAUAGUUUGAAUAUUUUAUGCCCAAGUAGAGUUUAUUUUUGUUUUGUUUUUGUCAUCGUCGUUUUUCCAUUUAUCCUUCUUGGUGUUUUUUGAGCUUCCUGGAUCUAUGGUUUGGUGUCUGGCUUUAAUCUGAGGAAAUUCAGCUAUUACUGUUACAAAUAUUUCUUCUGUUCCUCUUUCUUCCCCCUUACAUUACCGUUAUGCAUAUUUUAUGCCUCUGUGGAUGUCCCAUAGUGCUUGGAUACUCUGUUCUUUUUUGCUUUUCAGUUCUCGAGGUUGGAGUUGGGUAUUUCCCUUUCCACCAGGUCAGAAGGCUCUGAUAAAAUCCCACCAGGUUAGUCUCUAGUUAACUAGCUUCUCUGGAAGGUAGACCUAGUGAAGAGUGCACCUCCAUAUUGAAAAAUGAUUCCUAUUCUCUUUCCCCUGUAGUAAAUAUGAGGGGAUUUUUCUCUGAUGUUUACUUCAAGAACCUGGUUGAGCUUCUGAUGAUACAACUCACAAAAGCAUGAGACCCAUAUGCACAGGCCUCCUGGAGGUUUCAACUCUCAGACGUGGCCACACCUCACUGCAGCAAUUUGUCAAUUCCAGUUCAGGUUUAAGAAGAACUGCUGAUUUUUCAGUUUGCUCAGCUUUUUACCUGUGAGGAUGGAGUGACAAUUCUCAAGAUUAUCAUAUUUAAAAACUCGGUCUUCUGCUGUAUCAGACAUCUAGAUGGGCAUUUUCCAACAGAAUUAUGAGAGGCCUCUUAUAGAACUUGAAACCUUCCUUGUAGCCUCAUAUAAAUAUAUAAACAGGUACAAUUCAUUUUACUAGUAUAUUUUUAACUCAAAAUGCUCAUACUAUGCUUUCAA
This 1221-nucleotide long non-coding RNA is filed under the name Piliocolobus tephrosceles (Ugandan red Colobus). RNAcentral's name for it is "lncRNA (ENSPTEG00000007976.1)". The record is from RNAcentral. Lineage: Eukaryota; Metazoa; Chordata; Mammalia; Primates; Cercopithecidae.